RNAcentral lists this long non-coding RNA (1221 nucleotides) under Homo sapiens (human). RNAcentral describes it as "HSALNT0188970". Lineage: Eukaryota; Metazoa; Chordata; Mammalia; Primates; Hominidae. The record is from RNAcentral.
GAAAAAGAACACUGAGGUAGGGAAAUAGUGUCUCCAUCUCUUCUUCCUAGUAUUCAUGUCUACCAAAUGCUUUCUUUGGCUUCCUCUGAAAGAAGCCAGUUUCAGCAAGUGAGUUUGUGAUUCUUUCUCCUUUCAGGUACCUGUUUCCCAGGCAACUACUGAUCAGGCAUUUCUGGACCCCAAAACAACAAACUGAUUUCUUAGAUAUCUAUCAUGCUUUCCGGAAGCAGUCCCACCCAGAAAUUAUUAGUUAUUUAGAAAAGGUCAUCCCUCUCAUUUCUGAUGCAGGACUCCGGUGGCGUCUGACAGAUCUGUGCACCAAGGUAUUCCUGCAGUUAACCCUUCCUACAAAUGUGGAAUCUUGUUAGAUUCAGUGUGCACUAAACUAGGUAAGAGGAGUAGUCAGGACUUUCCUAACAUCUACAAAUCUCUUACCUCUUCCAAGAUACAGCGUGGUACCCACCCAGCAAUACAUGAUAUCUUGGCUCUGAGAGAGUGUUUCUCUAACCAUCCUCUGGGCAUGAACCAACUCCAGGCUUUGCACGUGAAAGCCUUGAGCCGGGCCAUGCUUCUCACAUCUUACCUGCCUCCUCCCUUGUUGAGACAUCGUUUGAAGACUCAUACAACUGUGAUUCACCAACUGGACAAGGCUUUGGCAAAGCUGGGGAUUGGCCAGCUGACUGCUCAGGAAGUAAAAUCGAUAGGUGUCGAACUUGGCUGGGAGAAUGGCUGCAGAUUUCCUGCAGCCUGAAAGAAGCUGAGCUGUCUCUCUUGCUGCACAACGUGGUCCUGCUCUCCACCAACUACCUUGGGACAAGGCGCUGAAUGAACCAUGGAGCGGAUGGCAUUGUCCUGCAGUCGUAUAGUAUAGCAGUGCAGGAACAAACAGCACUUGCCAGCAAAGUCUGUGUGUACUGUUAAGUGUGUGGGAGGCAGAGAGAGGAGCAGGGGCCAUGGGCUUCACAGCAUGGCACACAUGUGGGAACUGCAGACAUUCCUCUCACAGCUAGAACUGAAACAAACCCUCUUGCUAGGGGUGGUCCGUGUGAGGUGUCAUCCUGUCCCCCUCAUAAUUACUAAUAGCUGGAACUGGCAGCAGCCUCUACUGGGCUUUUACUGUGAUGUGUUCAGUUCAUGUCCUAGGAAGUCAGCUUUUGCCCCAGGUGGGAAUCCUUAUUUGGCUUAGGACUGAUCCACUUCCAUGUUACUUACAUCUGUGGG